GGUCUCAGUUCGGAUUGUAGGCUGCAACCCGCCUGCAUGAAGUUGGAAUUGCUAGUAAUCGCGGAUCAGCAUGCCGCGGUGAAUACGUUCCCGGGCCUUGUACACACCGCCCGUCACACCAUGGGAGCCGGUAAUACCCGAAGUCAGUAGUCCAACCUCGUGAGGACGCUGCCGAAGGUAGGAUUGGCGACUGGGGUGAAGUCGUAACAAGGUAUC
RNAcentral lists this ribosomal RNA (216 nucleotides) under uncultured bacterium. RNAcentral's name for it is "partial 16S ribosomal RNA". It matches the Rfam family "Bacterial small subunit ribosomal RNA", at positions 1284 to 1500 of the family's 1533-position model. The record is from RNAcentral.